UUUCCCUACGGGAGGCAGCAGUGAGGAAUAUUGGUCAAUGGGCGCGAGCCUGAACCAGCCAAGUCGCGUGAGGGAAGACGGUCCUAUGGAUUGUAAACCUCUUUUGUCGGGGAGCAAAAGACGCCACGUGUGGCGUUCCGAGAGUACCCGAAGAAAAAGCAUCGGCUAACUCCGUGCCAGCAGCCGCGGUAAUACGGAGGAUGCGAGCGUUAUCCGGAUUUAUUGGGUUUAAAGGGUGCGCAGGCGGCACGGCAAGCCGGCGGUCAAAUCGCGGGGCUCAACCCCGCCCAGC
RNAcentral lists this ribosomal RNA (292 nucleotides) under uncultured bacterium. RNAcentral's name for it is "partial 16S ribosomal RNA". It matches the Rfam family "Bacterial small subunit ribosomal RNA", at positions 334 to 623 of the family's 1533-position model. The record is from RNAcentral.